Aspergillus pseudotamarii is the source of this 84-nucleotide non-coding RNA. The record is from the annotation of a RefSeq genome assembly. Lineage: Eukaryota; Fungi; Ascomycota; Eurotiomycetes; Eurotiales; Aspergillaceae.
GGUGCUGUAGUAUAGUGGUCAGUACAGCUCGUUGUGGUCCUCCACAGCCCCGAGCAGACCUGGGUUCGAUUCCCAGCAGCGCCA